UACGUAGGGGGCAAGCGUUGUCCGGAUUUAUUGGGCGUAAAGAGCGUGUAGGCGGUUUGGUAGGUCCGCUGUGAAAACUCGAGGCUCAACCUCGAGACGCCGGUGGAAACCAUCAGGCUAGAGUCCGGAAGAGGAGUGUGGAAUUCCUGGUGUAGCGGUGAAAUGCGCAGAUAUCAGGAAGAACACCUAUGGCGAAGGCAGCACUCUGGGACGGUACUGACGCUGAGACGCGAAAGCGUGGGGAGCGAACAGG
This 253-nucleotide ribosomal RNA is filed under the name uncultured bacterium. RNAcentral describes it as "partial 16S ribosomal RNA". It matches the Rfam family "Bacterial small subunit ribosomal RNA", at positions 524 to 776 of the family's 1533-position model. The record is from RNAcentral.